AGAGGUGGCGAGCGUUGUUCGGAUUUACUGGGCGUAAAGGGUGCGUAGGUGGUUUCGUGUGUCGGGCGUGAAAGCCCACUGCUCAACGGGUGGAAUUGCGUCUGAAACUGCGGAACUAGAGUGCAGGAGGGGAGAGCGGAAUUCUUGGUGUAGCGGUGAAAUGCGUUGAUAUCAAGAAGAACACCGGUGGCGAAGGCGGCUCUCUGGAAUGUUACUGACACUGAGGCACGAAAGCUGGGGGAGCGAACAGGAUUAGAUACCCUGGUAGUCCCAGCCGUAAACGGUGCGCACUUGGUGUGGGGAGUAUUGAUCCUCCCCGUGCCGGAGCUAACGCGUUAAGUGCGCCGCCUGGGGAGUACGGCCGCAAAGGCUAA
Molecule: ribosomal RNA, 374 nt
Filed under: uncultured organism
Description: partial 16S ribosomal RNA
Rfam family: Bacterial small subunit ribosomal RNA
Source: RNAcentral